This 492-nucleotide ribosomal RNA is filed under the name uncultured bacterium. RNAcentral describes it as "partial 16S ribosomal RNA". It matches the Rfam family "Bacterial small subunit ribosomal RNA", at positions 29 to 507 of the family's 1533-position model. The record is from RNAcentral.
AGUGAACGCUGGCGGUAGGCCUAACACAUGCAAGUCGAACGGCAGCACAGUAAGAGCUUGCUCUUACGGGUGGCGAGUGGCGGACGGGUGAGGAAUACAUCGGAAUCUACUUUUUCGUGGGGGAUAACGUAGGGAAACUUACGCUAAUACCGCAUACGACCUACGGGUGAAAGCAGGUGAUCUUCGGACCUUGCGCGAUUGAAUGAGCCGAUGUCGGAUUAGCUAGUUGGCGGGGUAAAGGCCCACCAAGGCGACGAUCCGUAGCUGGUCUGAGAGGAUGAUCAGCCACACUGGAACUGAGACACGGUCCAGACUCCUACGGGAGGCAGCAGUGGGGAAUAUUGGACAAAGGGCGCAAGCCUGAUCCAGCCAUACCGCGUGAGUGAAGAAGGCCUUCGGGUUGUAAAGCCCUUUUGUUGGGAAAGAAAAGCAGCAGGUUAAUACCCCGCUGUUCUGACGGUACCCAAAGAAUAAGCACCGGCUAACUUCGUG